GGUCGGAUUCUGGCUCAGACGGAACGCUGGCGGGAUGCUUUACACAUGCAAGUCGAACAGCAGCACGGACUUCGGUCUGGUGGCGAGUGGCGAACGGGUGAGUAAUGUAUCGGAACGUGCCUAGUAAAGUGGGGAUAACUACGCGAAAGCGUGAAGCAUACCGUAUACGCCCUUCGGGGCGUUGUGGACCUCGGGGCCUCUGCACUAUUAGAGCGGCCGAUAUCGGAUUAGCUAGUUGGUGGGUAACGGCUCACCAAGGCGACGAUCCGUAGCUGGUUUGAGAGGACGACCAGCCACACUGGGACCGAGACACGGCCCAGACUCCUACGGGAGGCAGCAGUGGGGAAUUUUGACAAUGGGGGAACCCUGGAUCCAGCCAUCCCGCGUGUGCGAUGAAGGCCUUCGGGUUGUAAAGCACUUUUGGCAGGAAAGAAACGGCACGGGAUAACACCCCGUGCAACUUCGACGGUACCUGCAGAAUAAGCACCUCGGCUAACUACGUGCCAGCAGCCGCGGUAAUACGUAGGGUGCAAGCGUUAAUCGGAAUUACUGGGCGUAAAGCGUGCGCAGGCGGUUCGGAAAGAAAGAGCGAAAUCCCAGAGCUUAACUUUUAACUACUUUUUAAAUCACUGAGCUAGAGUGUGUCAGGGAAUUCCGCGUGUAGCAGGAAAUGCGUAGAUAUGCGGAGGAACACCGAUGGCGAAGGCAGCCUCCCUGGGAUAACACUGACGCUCAUGCACGAAAGCGUGGGGAGCAACAGAUUAGAUAUCAGUCCACGCCCUAAACGAUGUCAACUAGCCGUUGGGGCCUUCGGGUCCCGUUGGUAGCGCAGCUGACCGUGAAGGACCGUCGGGAGAAGUGGUCAAAGACAAACUCAAAGGAAUUGGAUGGGACCCGCACAAGCGGUGGAUGAUGUGGAUUAAUUCGAUGCAACGCGAAAACCCAUCACCUUGACAUGUCUGGAAUCCCGAAGAGAUUUGGGAGUGCUCGCAAGAGAACCGGAACACAGGUGCUGCAUGGCUGUCGUCAGCUCGUGUCGAGAUGUUGGGUUAAGUCCCGCAACGAGCGCAACCCUUGUCAUUAGUUGCUACGAAAGGGCACUCUAAUGAGACUGCCGGUGACAAACCGGAGGAAGGUGGGGAUGACGUCAAGUCCUCAUGGCCCUUUACGGGUAGGGCUUGGCCACUGUCAUAUAAUUACGGGAUGAGGGCUGCUAACCCGCGAGGGGAGCCAAUCCCAGAAACCCGAUCGGAGUCCGGAUCGCAGUCUGCAACUCGACUGCGUGAAGUCGGAAUCGCUAGUAAUCGCGGAUCAGCAUGUCGCGGUGAAUACGUUCCCUGGUCUGUACACACCGCCCGUCACACCAUGGGAGUGGGUUUUACCAGAAGUAGUUAGCCCAACCGUAAGGAGGGCGAUUACCACGGCAGGAUUCAUGAUUUAGUGAAGUCGUAACAAGGUAA
Molecule: ribosomal RNA, 1460 nt
Filed under: uncultured Bordetella sp.
Lineage: Bacteria; Pseudomonadati; Pseudomonadota; Betaproteobacteria; Burkholderiales; Alcaligenaceae
Description: partial 16S-23S ribosomal RNA intergenic spacer
Rfam family: Bacterial small subunit ribosomal RNA
Source: RNAcentral